GAGAGUUUGAUUCUGGCUCAGGAUGAACGCUGGCGGCGUGCUUAACACAUGCAAGUCGAGCGCGGUCCCUUUGGUGCUUGCACCAGAGAAGACUGAGCGGCGGACGGGUGAGUAACGCGUGGGUAACCUGCCCUAUACACAUGGAUAACAUGCUGAAAAGCAUACUAAUACAUGAUAACGUACACUGAUGGCAUCUUCGGUGUAUCAAAGCGUUAGCGGUAUAGGAUGGACCCGCGUCUGAUUAGCUAGUUGGUGGGGUAAAAGCCUACCAAGGCCACGAUCAGUAGCCGACCUGAGAGGGUGAUCGGCCACAUUGGAACUGAGACACGGUCCAAACUCCUACGGGAGGCAGCAGUGGGGAAUAUUGCACAAUGGGCGAAAGCCUGAUGCAGCAACGCCGCGUGAACGAUGAAGGUCUUCCGAUCGUAAAGUUCUGUCGCAGGGGAAGAUAAUGACGGUACCCUGUGAGGAAGCACCGGC
This 480-nucleotide ribosomal RNA is filed under the name swine manure pit bacterium PPC96A. Its description in RNAcentral is "bacterial SSU rRNA". It matches the Rfam family "Bacterial small subunit ribosomal RNA", at positions 7 to 497 of the family's 1533-position model. The record is from RNAcentral.